Molecule: long non-coding RNA, 3267 nt
Filed under: Equus caballus (horse)
Lineage: Eukaryota; Metazoa; Chordata; Mammalia; Perissodactyla; Equidae
Description: lncRNA (ENSECAG00000043866.1)
Rfam family: mir-142 microRNA precursor family (bases 961-1044)
Source: RNAcentral
CCAAUACCCAGCCUCGUCUCUGGUUUCCUGUCAGUCUGUCCUCCCCUGGGAGGGGAGGGGCGCUAAUCUCCGCUGUGGUGUGGGGGCGGGCUCCAAGACCGUUGGGCGCCCUGAGAUCUGGCCCACGUGGCCUCGGGGUUAUAAGCCCUGCCCGCCCUGAAGGGAACCCCACUUGGGAGCCUGGAGCGCAGGACUUGCUCCCUUCAGCCCUGCAGCAUCAGGUAAGGGUCCGAACUUUCACUUCAGCCCCAAUCGGGCUCCUCGACUCUGGGCCUCAAGGGGCAAUGAGGGGUUGGGGUUUCGGGCCCUGGGUGGAGAAGCUUUCGGGGAGGCUUCAGGGGCUUGGGUGCCAAGGCUUACUAGCAAAGCUCUAGGCAAAAAGGUGCAAUAACGCUCAGAUCUACUGGCCUUCAUAGUGGCACAACUCUUCAAAAUCCUGGGCCUUGACUUCUCUCUAGAUGAGGAAGGUAAAAUGGCUCCUGGCCCCCAGAUGAAGAAAGAGGGGUUCAAGGUUUCAAGGGACAAGGGCCAGAGAGUAGGGUGGGAACGGCAGAGGGUGGGCAGAGGCUGAAAAGUGGGAUGUGGUGUCAGUGAGAGGCACUAAGUGUCUCCCGCCGCCCAAUAUGGCUACCAUCUCCGUUGCAAUAGCCUUGGGCGCCUGCCUGGGGAGUUCCCGGGCAGCGAAGGAGUCAGGGCCUUGGGCUGGUGAGGAGGUUGGGGACUGAGCCCUAGGGGGAAGGGAAGAGGGAACCAAAGAGGAAGUGGGGGGAGGGAGGUAGAGGAGGCUAGUCUGGCGCCAUGCUGAGUCACCGCCCACAGGGCCCAGGGCGGGCCCUUUCGGGGCUACGGAGAAGGGUGUUGGGGUCUUGGGAAGCCACGGGGAGGGCUGAGGGGCUCUUGAAGCAGGAGUCAGGAGGAGGAGCGGGCGGCCUGAAGAGUACCCGCAGACGGACAGACAGACAGUGCAGUCACCCAUAAAGUAGAAAGCACUACUAACAGCACUGGAGGGUGUAGUGUUUCCUACUUUAUGGAUGAGUGUACUGUGGGCUUCGGAGACCACGCCGCCGCCGCCCGCCACCGUCUUCCUCCACACUCAGGACCGUGUGUGACAGGUGAGCCCCUCAGGCACCCUCCCCACCCCACUCGAACCCCUGAAAGGCCUUCACUGCCCCCUGUGGUGCUGUCCCUCCUGGUUCCGGCCAACCAGGGAAAUGCCACAUCAGCUCCUCCGCUGCCUUGAGGCCUGGGAGGGCUGGACAUUUGGACCUGACGCAGCUGUGGAGAGGCCCCGGCGCCGGGGCCCAGCCUCGAAUGGACAGAUGCCAGGACAAAGAAGAGGCGGGAAAGGAGGGUAGAUGGAAGGGAAUGGGGGGGGUGUGUGCCAGGGACCCCAACACUAAUAAAGAAUGGACUCUGCUUCUCUUUUGUCUGAGAUUCUGUUGCUGGGAUUGGGAGGCUGAAUGGGUUCAGCAGGCACAUUGGUGGGGUGGGUGCACAGAGGGACUGGGAGGGAGAAUCACUCUCACUCUCCUGAGAGAUAUGAGUUUGGCCCUGCCUUUGAGACCAGAAGAGGGCUCUGGGCCUGGCCAGGCCGCAGCUGCCAAGGAAGGAUGCCUGGGGUGAGGACCUCCCUGCAAACGGAGGAAAGGGGGCAGGACAUGGAGGGGCAGGGUCAUGAGAGCCCUCCCACCUUUUACUUGAACUCUGGCUCUGCCCUCCACUUACUUUCCACACCCCCAAACUGAAGGCUGCCUACCACCAGUCCUAAUCUAAGAAAGUCUAGAGGGUUGUUGGUAGUAUAAGAAGUGGACACACACCCACUAUGGCCCCCACACAAAGCAUCUUCUACUUAGACAAGGGCACAGAUACUCCUAUACAAAGCACAUACUUUGUCAUGUGUGUGCAUUUACGUACAGGGUCCCUGUACACAUAUGCUAUCAACACACGUGUACAGUGACAGACACAUGUGACAUGGCUGGCAUGUCACACAAUGAUAUACGCACACUCAGGACACAUACAUAUUCAACGGUACACACACGUGCAAUGAUACAAACACAUAUGAUGUGUGUCACGCGUAGAAGAGAAUACAAAUACGCGCAUAGUGACAUUCACAUAAUAGACACAUUGGUUCCAUACACACACAAAUAUAGUGACUCACUCAUACAUGGUGAUAAAUAUACAAUAGGUACAUGGUGAUAUCUAUACAUCUAGAUAUCUAGAUAUAAAUGAAACCAUGUCAUUGUAUGGCAUUACACACAUUUACAUGACUGUAUGAUAGUGUGUCGUUACAUAUUGUGUAAUGCCAUAUAAUGGCAUCUGUACACAUAUAUCGUGUCAUAUGUGUUGUAAUUUAUACACACACAAUCAUAGCCUCAUAUACACAUAACAGCAUACAGACACUGUUGCAAGCAGGCAUCUAUGCAAUGACAUAGAAACAUGCAUGCAUAUAUAUCCAGGGAGACUUAUAGACACAUAAAAGCACAUACACACAUACAUAUGUAUGUAUGUGUGUACAUAUGUAAAAUAAUACAAUGGCCCCACACACAUAUACAGAGAUAAAUAUACAGUAAUAUGCUGCAUAACAACGUUUCAGUGAACAACAGACCACAUAUAUGACGGUGGUCCCAUAAGAUUAGUACCAUAUAGCCUAGAUGUGUAGUAGGCUGUACCAUGUAGGUUCGUGUAAGUACCCUCUGUGAUGUUUACACAAUGACAAAAUCACCUAACAAUACGUUUCUCAGAACGUAUCCCCGUCAUUAAGCAACACCUAGGCUAUAUGGUAUAGCCUGUUACUCUUAAGCAACAAACUCGUACAGCAUGUUACUGUACUGAAUACUGCAGGCAACUGUAACACAAUGGUAAAUAUUUGUGUAUCCAAACAUAGAAAAGAUACAGUAAAAAUAUGGUAUAAAAGAUCAAAAUGGUACACCUGUAUAGGGCAGCUACCGUGAAUGGAGCUUGCAGGACUGGAAGUUGCUCCAGGUGAGUCACAGAGUGAGUGGUGAGUGAAUGCGAAGGCCCAGGACAUCACUGCACACUACUGUAGACAUCAUUUUUUUUUUCCUUUUUCUCCCCAAAGCCCCUCGGUACAUAGUUGUAUAUUUUAGUUGUGCGUCCUUCUAGUUGUGGCAUGUGGGAUGCCACCUCAGCGUGGCCUGACGAGCGGUGCCAUGUCUGCGCCCAGGAUCUGAACCAGCGAAACCCUGGGCCACCUAAGUGGAGUGCAUGAAUUUAAUCACUCGGCCACGGGGCCGGCCCCUACUGUAG